RNAcentral lists this transfer RNA (87 nucleotides) under Microbotryum lychnidis-dioicae p1A1 Lamole. RNAcentral's name for it is "tRNA-Lys for anticodon UUU". It matches the Rfam family "tRNA". From Rfam's summary of the family: Transfer RNA (tRNA) molecules are approximately 80 nucleotides in length. Their secondary structure includes four short double-helical elements and three loops (D, anti-codon, and T loops). The record is from Rfam by way of RNAcentral. Lineage: Eukaryota; Fungi; Basidiomycota; Microbotryomycetes; Microbotryales; Microbotryaceae.
GCCCCGCUAGCUCAAUUGGUUAGAGCAUGCGACUUUUACGUUGCUCGAAAUAUCGCAAGGUUGCGAGUUCGACCCUCGCGCGGGGCU